Molecule: ribosomal RNA, 429 nt
Filed under: Chloroflexota bacterium
Lineage: Bacteria; Bacillati; Chloroflexota
Description: Chloroflexi bacterium partial 16S ribosomal RNA
Rfam family: Bacterial small subunit ribosomal RNA
Source: RNAcentral
UGGGGAAUAUUGCACAAUGGGCGCAAGCCUGAUGCAGCCAUGCCGCGUGUGUGAAGAAGGCCUUCGGGUUGUAAAGCACUUUCAGCGGGGAGGAAGGCGUUAAGGUUAAUAACCUUGGCGAUUGACGUUACCCGCAGAAGAAGCACCGGCUAACUCCGUGCCAGCAGCCGCGGUAAUACGGAGGGUGCAAGCGUUAAUCGGAAUUACUGGGCGUAAAGCGCACGCAGGCGGUCUGUCAAGUCGGAUGUGAAAUCCCCGGGCUCAACCUGGGGACUGCAUUCGAAACUGGCAGGCUAGAGUCUUGUAGAGGGGGGUAGGAUUCCAUGUGUAGCGAUGAAAUGCGUAGAGAUCUGGAGGAAUACCGGUGGCGAAGGCGGCCCCCUGGACAAAGACUAACGCUCAGGUGCGAAAGCGUGGGGAGCAAACAGG